RNAcentral lists this ribosomal RNA (492 nucleotides) under uncultured bacterium. Its description in RNAcentral is "partial 16S ribosomal RNA". It matches the Rfam family "Bacterial small subunit ribosomal RNA", at positions 29 to 507 of the family's 1533-position model. The record is from RNAcentral.
AGUGAACGCUGGCAGUAGGCCUAACACAUGCAAGUCGAACGGCAGCACAGUAAGAGCUUGCUCUUACGGGUGGCGAGUGGCGGACGGGUGAGGAAUACAUCGGAAUCUACUUUUUCGUGGGGGAUAACGUAGGGAAACAUACGCUAAUACCGCAUACGACCUACGGGUGAAAGCAGGGGAUCUUCGGACCUUGCGCGAUUGAAUGAGCCGAUGUCGGAUUAGCUAGUUGGCGGGGUAAAGGCCCACCAAGGCGACGAUCCGUAGCUGGUCUGAGAGGAUGAUCAGCCACACUGGAACUGAGACACGGUCCAGACUCCUACGGGAGGCAGCAGUGGGGAAUAUUGGACAAUGGGCGCAAGCCUGAUCCAGCCAUACCGCGUGGGUGAAGAAGGCCUUCGGGUUGUAAAGCCCUUUUGUUGGGAAAGAAAAGCAGCAGGUUAAUACCCCGCUGUUCUGACGGUACCCAAAGAAUAAGCACCGGCUAACUUCGUG